Molecule: non-coding RNA, 344 nt
Organism: Pelobates cultripes (western spadefoot toad)
Lineage: Eukaryota; Metazoa; Chordata; Amphibia; Anura; Pelobatidae
Source: the annotation of a GenBank genome assembly
ACUAAAAGAACUUUGGUAAAGAUUUUCAAUAUUGAAUAAAUACACACAAUAUAUUCUGUUCUCCCUCUUCCCUUUAUCUGUGAUGAUGCCGGCAAAAUUGAACCCGCAAGCCGGAACACAUUUGGAACGCAAGCUGGAACGCACGGAUAUGACGCGACGGCUUGCGAUCGAAAAAAACGGAAGUGACGUAUCGAUAGUGCUACCCGGAAAUGAAGAGAGAAAGAGGCUUGACACGCAGGGCGUCACCAUUCCCAUGGUGAUAGCCCGCGAAAAUUCAAGCCGAAAAACAAGCAUCUUCACCCCAGGAGGGGUACAUAUAGCAGGAGCCAGUGCAAGAAGGUACA